AGCGGCGAACGGCUGAGUAACGCGUGGGAAUGUGCCCCAAAGUGAGGAAUAACUGCCCGAAAGGGUAGCUAAUGCCGCAUAUGAUCUUCGGAUUAAAGGAUUUAUCCGCUUUGGGAGCAGCCCGCGUACGAUUAGAUUGUUGGUGAGGUAAAAGCUCACCAAGUCGACGAUCGUUAGCUGGUCUGAGAGGAUGACCAGCCAGACUGGAACUGAGACACGGUCCAGACUCC
Molecule: ribosomal RNA, 230 nt
Filed under: uncultured Candidatus Saccharibacteria bacterium
Lineage: Bacteria; Candidatus Saccharimonadota
Description: partial 16S ribosomal RNA
Rfam family: Bacterial small subunit ribosomal RNA
Source: RNAcentral